UAUUGCCGAAGGUUUCGGAAUCCCGCCGUUGGAGGCGGCCGUAGCGGGUGUCCCUUGUAUCUGUUCGAACCGCACGGCGAUGC
RNAcentral lists this transfer RNA (83 nucleotides) under Alistipes sp. CHKCI003. RNAcentral's name for it is "tRNA-Ser". Lineage: Bacteria; Pseudomonadati; Bacteroidota; Bacteroidia; Bacteroidales; Rikenellaceae. The record is from RNAcentral.